Molecule: ribosomal RNA, 434 nt
Filed under: Salmonella enterica
Lineage: Bacteria; Pseudomonadati; Pseudomonadota; Gammaproteobacteria; Enterobacterales; Enterobacteriaceae
Description: bacterial LSU rRNA
Rfam family: Bacterial large subunit ribosomal RNA
Source: RNAcentral
AAGGCUAAAUACUCCUGACUGACCGAUAGUGAACCAGUACCGUGAGGGAAAGGCGAAAAGAACCCCGGCGAGGGGAGUGAAAAAGAACCUGAAACCGUGUACGUACAAGCAGUGGGAGCCCCACCACCAAAGCAUUCUCUGGUGUUGAAGGCCCUGCAAAGCAGCAUCGCGGUGGCGGAGCGUCGUUUGCGACGCCCAACACACAAAACAAGCGGUGAGUGCUUUGGGGUGGGGUGACUGCGUACCUUUUGUAUAAUGGGUCAGCGACUUAUAUUCUGUAGCAAGGUUAACCGUAUAGGGGAGCCGUAGGGAAACCGAGUCUUAACCGGGCGUUAAGUUGCAGGGUAUAGACCCGAAACCCGGUGAUCUAGCCAUGGGCAGGUUGAAGGUUGGGUAACACUAACUGGAGGACCGAACCGACUAAUGUUGAAAAA